GUGGGGAAUAUUGGACAAUGGGGGGAACCCUGAUCCAGCCAUGCCGCGUGUGUGAAGAAGGCCUUUUGGUUGUAAAGCACUUUAAGCGAGGAGGAGGCUACCGAGAUUAAUACUCUUGGAUAGUGGACGUUACUCGCAGAAUAAGCACCGGCUAACUCUGUGCCAGCAGCCGCGGUAAUACAGAGGGUGCAAGCGUUAAUCGGAUUUACUGGGCGUAAAGCGCGCGUAGGUGGCCAAUUAAGUCAAAUGUGAAAUCCCCGAGCUUAACUUGGGAAUUGGCUUCGAUACUGGUUGGCUAGAGUAUGGGAGAGGAUGGUAGAAUUCCAGGUGUAGCGGUGAAAUGCGUAGAGAUCUGGAGGAAUACCGAUGGCGAAGGCAGCCAUCUGGCCUAAUACUGACACUGAGGUGCGAAAGCAUGGGGAGCAAACAGGAUUAGAAACCCUAGUAGUCC
RNAcentral lists this ribosomal RNA (451 nucleotides) under uncultured bacterium. RNAcentral describes it as "partial 16S ribosomal RNA". It matches the Rfam family "Bacterial small subunit ribosomal RNA", at positions 354 to 796 of the family's 1533-position model. The record is from RNAcentral.